GACUUCGGUUGAAUCACCUUAACUUUAUUCAUCUGUUUCACAGGUUCCACCGGCACCGGAGAGGUCCGCAGAGGAGACAAUGACAACAAAAAUGAUAUGGGACAACCUGAUGCGUCAGAAUGAAGAAUUGUACCGUUUCUUGAGGUGGAUGUUGAACCAACCAACUUUGCCGGUAAUCCUAAACCAGCAGAAGACCAAACACCUCAUCAC
This is a long non-coding RNA of Clarias gariepinus (North African catfish), 210 nucleotides long. RefSeq lists it as uncharacterized. The transcript has 3 exons. The record is from RefSeq and is a predicted model, not a curated record. NCBI's taxonomy places the organism in Eukaryota, Metazoa, Chordata, Actinopteri, Siluriformes, Clariidae.